GACGAGCGCUGGCGGCGUGCUUAACACAUGCAAGUCGAACGGAAAGGCCCUGCUUUUGUGGGGUGCUCGAGUGGCGAACGGGUGAGUAACACGUGAGUAACCUGCCCUUGACUUUGGGAUAACUUCAGGAAACUGGGGCUAAUACCGGAUAGGAGCUCCUGCUGCAUGGUGGGGGUUGGAAAGUUUCGGCGGUUGGGGAUGGACUCGCGGCUUAUCAGCUUGAUGGUGGGGUAGUGGCUUACCAAGGCUUUGACGGGUAGCCGGCCUGAGAGGGUGACCGGCCACAUUGGGACUGAGAUACGGCCCAGACUCCUACGGGAGGCAGCAGUGGGGAAUAUUGCACAAUGGGCGGAAGCCUGAUGCAGCAACGCCGCGUGCGGGAUGACGGCCUUCGGGUUGUAAACCGCUUUCGCCUGUGACGAAGCGUGAGUGACGGUAAUGGGUAAAGAAGCACCGGCUAACUACGUGCCAGCAGCCGCGGUGAUACGUACGGUGCGAGCGUUGUCCGGAUUUAUUGGGCGUAAAGGGCUCGUAGGUGGUUGAUCGCGUCGGAAGUGUAAUCUUGGGGCUUAACCCUGAGCGUGCUUUCGAUACGGGUUGACUUGAGGAAGGUAGGGGAGAAUGGAAUUCCUGGUGGAGCGGUGGAAUGCGCAGAUAUCAGGAGGAACACCAGUGGCGAAGGCGGUUCUCUGGGCCUUUCCUGACGCUGAGGAGCGAAAGCGUGGGGAGCGAACAGGCUUAGAUACCCUGGUAGUCCACGCUGUAAACGGUGGGUACUAGGUGUGGGGUCCAUUCCACGGGUUCCGUGCCGUAGCUAACGCUUUAAGUACCCCGCCUGGGGAGUACGGCCGCAAGGCUAAAACUCAAAGGAAUUGACGGGGCCCCGCACAAGCGGCGGAGCAUGCGGAUUAAUUCGAUGCAACGCGUAGAACCUUACCUGGGUUUGACAUGGAUCGGGAGCGCUCAGAGAUGGGUGUGCCUCUUUUGGGGUCGGUUCACAGGUGGUGCAUGGCUGUCGUCAGCUCGUGUCGUGAGAUGUUGGGUUAAGUCCCGCAACGAGCGCAACCCUUGUUCACUGUUGCCAGCACGUUAUGGUGGGGACUCAGUGGAGACCGCCGGGGUCAACUCGGAGGAAGGUGGGGAUGACGUCAAGUCAUCAUGCCCCUUAUGUCCAGGGCUUCACGCAUGCUACAAUGGCUGGUACAGAGAGUGGCGAGCCUGUGAGGGUGAGCGAAUCUCGGAAAGCCGGUCUCAGUUCGGAUUGGGGUCUGCAACUCGACCUCAUGAAGUCGGAGUCGCUAGUAAUCGCAGAUCAGCAACGCUGCGGUGAAUACGUUCCCGGGGCU
Molecule: ribosomal RNA, 1346 nt
Filed under: uncultured bacterium
Lineage: Bacteria
Description: bacterial SSU rRNA
Rfam family: Bacterial small subunit ribosomal RNA
Source: RNAcentral